GCCGGUGUGGUGGAAUUGGUAGACACAGGGGAUUUAAAAUCCCCCGGUAGCAAUGCUGUGCCGGUUCAAGUCCGGUCACCGGCA
This 84-nucleotide transfer RNA is filed under the name Oscillibacter sp. 1-3. It matches the Rfam family "tRNA". Rfam says of the family: Transfer RNA (tRNA) molecules are approximately 80 nucleotides in length. Their secondary structure includes four short double-helical elements and three loops (D, anti-codon, and T loops). The record is from Rfam by way of RNAcentral. Lineage: Bacteria; Bacillati; Bacillota; Clostridia; Eubacteriales; Oscillospiraceae.